Molecule: unclassified non-coding RNA, 406 nt
Filed under: soil metagenome
Description: partial contains 5.8S ribosomal RNA, internal transcribed spacer 2, and large subunit ribosomal RNA
Rfam family: 5.8S ribosomal RNA (bases 1-121)
Source: RNAcentral
GAUGAAGAAUGUAGCGAAAUGCGAUAAGUAAUGUGAAUUGCAGAAUUCAGUGAAUCAUCGAAUCUUUGAACGCACCUUGCGCCCUUUGGCCAUUCCGAAGGGCAUGCCUGUUUGAGUAUCAUGAACACCUCAACUCUUCAUGGUUUUCCAUGAUGAGCUUGGACUUUGGGGGUCUUGCUGGCCUGUGGGUCGGCUCCUCUCAAAUGAAUCAGCUUGCCGGUUUUUGGUGGGCAUCACAGGUGUGAUAACUAUCUACGCUUGUGGUUUUCCACCAGGGUAACCUUCAGCAGUGGAGGUUCACUGGAGCUUACAAAUGUCUCUCCUCUGUGAGGACAGCCCUUUGAAUGUUUGAUCUCAAAUCAGGUAGGACUACCCGCUGAACUUAAGCAUAUCAAUAAGCGGAUGA